This is a long non-coding RNA of Suricata suricatta (meerkat), 564 nucleotides long. RefSeq lists it as uncharacterized. The record is from RefSeq and is a predicted model, not a curated record. NCBI's taxonomy places the organism in Eukaryota, Metazoa, Chordata, Mammalia, Carnivora, Herpestidae. The transcript has 3 exons.
CUCUCCAAGCCAGCAAGUGGGCAUGGCCUCAGGCCACAGAGACCAGAAGGUGGGAACAGAAGAGGAAGAACCAUGGAGAAGGAAACACAGUUGGAAGGAGAAUCACGAGAGCACCCAUCUUACUAGCUCUGACGACUGAAGGCUUAGAACAAAGUCUUUGACAUAUUUGAUUUCAGCAACUGUAGGUUCCUAAUCGCUAACUUCAUCUUAUAAGCACACGAUUUGUCAUAUCUCCUUGGCCGUCAUGAGUGAAAGUUUUUGGAACGUUGUCACUUUUGCAGAGAUGUCUCUAGUAUUCCUACUCCUGCUUAGUGGGCACAAUGACUUGUGUUUUCAUGUACAGAAAAGAAGAUCUGAUUCCUCUGUACUUUCGGGCAAAUGGGAGCGUUGUCCUAGCGACAGGUUGUCUCCCUGGCGACCACUCACCCCUGACCAGUGUCAUGGGAGAGGAUCCUACGGCACAUCGCCGGCCCUGGAAAAGACCCAAGUUCAAAAUUCAGUGCCUGCUUUCUAUGGAAUGCGUCUGGCCUUCGCCCCAUCAUGAAGUCAGAAACCAUAAAGGGA